AUGGCUUUGUACAAAAAGGCGGGCCAGCCAGAGAAAAUCCCCUCCACAUUUGAAGAAAUGCGAGAAAGUGGUAUAACUGCUAACAGUUUUACAUACUUCACAUUGUUAGAAAGCUAUGUUACAAUGAAUGACCUGGAGGCUGCGGAGAAAGUCCUGGAAGAAUUGCAGAAGGUGGCUCCAGUUCACUGGUCCCUAUAUACUCUAAUGGCAAACAGUUAUAUUAAACUAGAGCUGUGUGGAAAGGCAGAAGUUGCCCUAAAGAAAGCUGAGGAAGUUAUGAACAAAGAUGAGUUAUCCUCAUGGUAUUUCCUCCUCUCCAUCUAUGCCCGUUGUGGAAAUGCAACUGAGGUUAAGAGGAUUUGGGAGUCUUUGAAGUCCACAUUCAAGAAAUGUUUGAACAGAAGCUAUCUUGUGGUGCUUCAAGCUCUGAGUACUAUUGAUGACUUUGAGUCUUUACAGCAAAUCUUUCAGGAGUGGGAAUCGAGUCAUGAACAAUAUGACAUGAGGAUAACAAAUGUUAUGAUCAAAGCUUACCUUGAUAAGGGUAUGAUAGACGAAGCUGAGGCUAUCCGUCAGAGGACCAUGGCUAAGGGUCGUUGUGAUGACAGGACAAUUUACAUAUUUGCCGAAUUCUAUUUGGAAAAAUCUAAUUUUACCGGGGCACUGGAGAUCUUGAGAGAUGCAAAGAAGAUGGUGACGGCACACAAAUGGGUGCCAUCCAAAAAGCUUACAAGCAGAUUUCUGAAGCACUAUGAAGAGUCAAAUGAUGUUGACGGCGUGGAGUCUUUCUGCGAGUGCCUGAGGAAGCUCGAAUGCCUUGAUACGGAAGCUUAUGAGGGCAUGAUGCGGACCUAUAUAGCUGCAGGUAGAACCAACCCAUCCAUUGCUCAGCGUAUCGAAGAUGAUGGGAUUCACGUUGGACCUGAGACUACGAAAUUGCUGGAGCGUGUCUCCGGCAAU
This 960-nucleotide ribosomal RNA is filed under the name Triticum aestivum (bread wheat). RNAcentral describes it as "partial small subunit ribosomal RNA". Lineage: Eukaryota; Viridiplantae; Streptophyta; Magnoliopsida; Poales; Poaceae. The record is from RNAcentral.